Molecule: ribosomal RNA, 119 nt
Organism: Podarcis muralis (Common wall lizard)
Lineage: Eukaryota; Metazoa; Chordata; Lepidosauria; Squamata; Lacertidae
Source: Ensembl
GUCUACGGCCAUACUACCCUGAACAUGCCCGAUCUCGUCUGAUCUCGGAAGCUAAGCAGGCUCAGACCUGGUUAGUACUUGGAUGGGAGACCACCUGGGAAUACCGGGUGCCGUAGGCU